This is a long non-coding RNA of Pseudophryne corroboree (corroboree frog), 650 nucleotides long. RefSeq lists it as uncharacterized. The transcript has 2 exons. Lineage: Eukaryota; Metazoa; Chordata; Amphibia; Anura; Myobatrachidae. The record is from RefSeq and is a predicted model, not a curated record.
UUGAUCUGGCGGGGAUGAAAUACCGGUGGUCCGGUCCCGUAGUUUCUGCUCUGCAGGCUUGCGGUACCUGCUGCAGUGGUUUACAUAAAAAAAAUGAAAAGGGGGGGAAAGUGGGCGUGGCCACGGGUCGUGAUUAGGCCACGCCCCCAACUAUGCCGGGCGGCCUGUCAGCGGCCCUGCUUGCUCCUCAUGUAGCUGGCUCCUCUUCGUCUGGCAGCCCCCUUCCAGCGCUCAUGCAGACAUGCACACUUUGCUCCUGCUCAGUCAGAACGGGACCCAGACAGACCCACUGCUGAAACAGAGGAGAAAGGGGUGGUGAGUAUCCAAAUACCAGGAACAACUGCUACACCCUUUUUGUGUAUGCACUUACCUCAAAUGCAUAUUGGUGAAGAGAUAAGCUCGAAACACAGGGGACCCGAGAUGUUCCCACCAGACUCGGAUCCCACAUAGUCAUUCUCCCGGCGUUGAUUUCUCGCGGGACUUCAAUUCUAUAUAAGGCGUCAUGGCCAGGACUCUGCUGUAAAUUGUAAGGCUUGGUGCACUUUAUCCUAGUGCACUUUGUUCAUUUGCAUCUAUAUGCCCUGUGAUCCAUGCUGUCUGAACCAAGCUAGAAGUUAAAAAACUGAAAAUAAAAGGAAAAUAUAUAUUUC